GUAGGUGAACCUGCGGAAGGAUCAUUAACAAUUUGAACCCACAUGGAUUCAAGUAUCCAUACCCACUUUGUGUGCACCUAUUGAAAACUACUUUGGGAUGGAUUUGGUAUUUGUAUAUAUAUAUACCAACCUCCCAGAAUUUUUAAUCAACGCCUUAAAAUUUUGUCUGAAAUUAUAAAUAUAUCAUAAAUAAAUACAACUUUCAACAACGGAUCUCUUGGCUCUCGCAUCGAUGAAGAACGCAGCAUCU
RNAcentral lists this unclassified non-coding RNA (250 nucleotides) under plant metagenome. RNAcentral describes it as "partial contains small subunit ribosomal RNA, internal transcribed spacer 1, and 5.8S ribosomal RNA". The stretch from base 198 to 250 matches the Rfam family "5.8S ribosomal RNA", at positions 1 to 53 of the family's 154-position model. The record is from RNAcentral.